Molecule: ribosomal RNA, 464 nt
Filed under: Vreelandella stevensii
Lineage: Bacteria; Pseudomonadati; Pseudomonadota; Gammaproteobacteria; Oceanospirillales; Halomonadaceae
Description: partial 16S ribosomal RNA
Rfam family: Bacterial small subunit ribosomal RNA
Source: RNAcentral
CCUAGGGUGGCAGCAGUGGGGAAUAUUGGACAAUGGGCGAAAGCCUGAUCUAGCCAUGCCGCGUGUGUGAAGAAGGCCUUCGGGUUGUAAAGCACUUUCAGUGGGGAAGAAAGCCUUGGGGCUAAUACCCUCGAGGAAGGACAUCACCCACAGAAGAAGCACCGGCUAACUCCGUGCCAGCAGCCGCGGUAAUACGGAGGGUGCGAGCGUUAAUCGGAAUUACUGGGCGUAAAGCGCGCGUAGGCGGUCUGAUAAGCCGGUUGUGAAAGCCCCGGGCUCAACCUGGGAACGGCAUCCGGAACUGUCAGGCUAGAGUGCAGGAGAGGAAGGUAGAAUUCCCGGUGUAGCGGUGAAAUGCGUAGAGAUCGGGAGGAAUACCAGUGGCGAAGGCGGCCUUCUGGACUGACACUGACGCUGAGGUGCGAAAGCGUGGGUAGCAAACAGGAUUAGAUACCCGUGUAGUC